Molecule: ribosomal RNA, 405 nt
Filed under: uncultured prokaryote
Description: bacterial SSU rRNA
Rfam family: Bacterial small subunit ribosomal RNA
Source: RNAcentral
UGAGGAAUUUUGCGCAAUGGGCGCAAGCCUGACCCAGCAACGCCGCGUGAGGGAAGAAGGCUUUCGGGUUGUAAACCUCUGUCCUUGGUGACGAAAAAAAUGACGGUAGCCAAGGAGGAAGCCCCGGCUAACUACGUGCCAGCAGCCGCGGUAAUACGUAGGGGGCGAGCGUUGUCCGGAAUUACUGGGCGUAAAGGGUGCGUAGGUGGCCUUUUAAGUUGGAUGUGAAAUCCCCGGGCUUAACUUGGGUGGUGCAUCUAAUACUGGAGGGCUAGAGUGCAGGAGAGGGAAGCGGAAUUCCUAGUGUAGCGGUGAAAUGCGUAGAUAUUAGGAGGAACACCAGUGGCGAAGGCGGCUUUCUGGACUGUAACUGACACUGAGGCACGAAAGCGUGGGGAGCAAACG